Molecule: long non-coding RNA, 3420 nt
Organism: Patella vulgata (common limpet)
Lineage: Eukaryota; Metazoa; Mollusca; Gastropoda; Patellidae
Exons: 4
Source: RefSeq, a predicted model, not a curated record
UGACGUCAUUAUUAGUGUGCGUAAAAUUCGAACGAAGGCAGGGUGAGGCGAAGAAAUCUGUUUUAGGCGAAGUAGACUGCAAAAAUAUCAACCAAUAUUAGCCAUAUAAAUCGCUGAUAUAGCAUGACGUCGACUGGAAUUAAUCAAGGUUUAGGAGAUGAACAGAAACCCACAUCAAGAGUGUUGAGACCUCCAGGAGGGGGUGCAAGUAAUAUUUUUGGAGGAGAAGCUGACCCACCACCAAAGCGUCAAUCACAGAGAGCACAUGUUUCCCAACAACCAACCCAUGGGCAAAGCAAGAAGUUAUUCGGCGAAAGUGAUCAUGUUGAGAAAAUUCUUCCUCAAACCAGAGGUUUUUAUAACCCUAUAACUGGAGAAGCAUAUGAAAAGACAGCAUGUUCUGCACCACCACCUAAACCUAAACCUGUGGAUAACUACCAACCUCUGCCAUCAGCAGGUGAUGGACCUGGUGUAAUGCAGUCUACAAGUGGUAAAGCUCAAGAUGUAAGAACAUCUUCACGUGUAUUGAAUCCACCUGGUGGACCAACAACUAAACUAUGGUAAACAUUAUACAACUGAUCUCUUCACCAAUGAUUUAUCUGAAUUUUGACAAAUUUCUUGUGACCUUUCAAUGAUACUCUUGAUUAUAAUUUGGUUUACUGUAACAGAAAACGAUAUUGAGAUUAUUUAAAAUCUUUGAUGUGCAAUUAUUUUUGAGCUUGCCUGUCUCCUGUUUUUAACAUUAAUUUCUUGUAUUGGCUAUUAAUGUAUGGAGACUAUACUAAAUUACUCAAUUACUGACAGUAGAAAGAGUCGGGAAUGAAUUGAAUUGGAUUUGAUGUGUCUGGAAUACCAGUGAAAUCUCUAUUAUUGUCAGUUGAAUGUAUUUUCUAAUACUUUAGAAUUAACUUUUCUUUACUGCCAGCAAUGAUCAACCUUUGCAAUGAAUAUCAAAAUGUCAAAAAUGUACCUCAACAUGUCCAUCAGUUAUAAAACAUGAUAUUGCUUUCAAUAUAAAUAAUUUGUUCAUCAUUGAAUAAAAAUACAUGUACAUUGUACUUAAAUACAUUAUCAGCAUUUGAAUUGUUGUGUGUGUACUUUCAGAUGAAUUAUUUGUUUGUUGAUUGUUGUUAAAAAAUAGCAUCAACUAAUCAAUUUUUAUUAGGAAUGUGAAUAUUCUGAUGUAUCUUUUAGCUAGAUAUCUAUUGGUGGAUGUAUUCUUAAUAAAAUGGAGUCGAUGUUCAUGGAAAUCAGAAUGUAUUUUAAAAAAUAUAAAGUAAGGCAUCUACAAGCUAAUUAAAUUAUUACUGAUAAAUGCUGUUGAAGCAGUUUAAUUGAACUAUAUAUUACAAAAAGAUGAACCAAUGUUUUGAUGUUGCCUAUUGAGACUUUUCAUGAACAAUCUUCAUAUUUAUGUAUCUAAUAUUACUCCAUUUAAAAAAAUUAGUACUUUUCUUAUUUUUUUUAUUAUAAUUUACUUUGUUAACUGUUAUAUAUUGGCCUAUAAGCUGAAUGAGCAGUUCUCAUUUUGGUUGAUUAUCUACCAAUGAGAAAUUUAUAAACCACAAUCUAUAUAUUGGAAUUUAAAACAAAGAUUAGCAUUAGGUAGAGAGGACUGUUUGUGCUGUUGUUGGGCACUCCAAUAUACUUGCCGGUCCUAUUACAGAAAGUAAUGGUCCCUGUGGCAUAAUAUUAGUUGAUAUUAGGACCUUAUAAUCUUCUAUAGUAUGUUUCAGUUUAUUAAAUUAUAUUAAUGUAUAUGUAGAUGCAAGAUAUUCCUAGAAUUAAGAUAUAAGUUUCGAGAGAUAUAUAUUUCUGUUUUAAUGUUUUAUAUUAGUUACCAACAAAUCUUUACUUAUAUAUACACACUUAUAGAAAUGACCAGUUAAAUUUACAUCAAUAGAGUUGUGAUUCAGUUUCUAGUACAUUUCUAUUGUUAAAUUUACCAAAAGUGCUAUUUGAAUUUUAAGAGAUGUUUAUGGAAUUGUAAAACUAAUAUGUUUAUUUGCUAACGCUUAUUAAAGAAAGGGAAAUGUAUAUAUUUGGUUUGCUAUUAUGAAUCUCUGUGUGAAAUUUGUAAAAGAUUGUCUUUAAAUGACAUCAGUAAUUUCCAAACCUUGUUAGUGAUGUCUCAUUACGACCCCCAAAAAUAUUUUUUGCUUUAAUUUUUUUCUGAAUUUGCUAAUUCUUUAAAGAAAAAAUAAUCUGAUUAAAAUACAGAUCUAAAUUUUGUUUCGUUUCAUUAUACUUUCGAUGACCUCCAUUCCAUAUUGAUCUGACCCGUUUAUGUGGAAGACUAUUAUAUUUAACUUUUUGUACACCCACAUUGAAAUGUGAUAUACAAUAAUAAAUAGAAUAGGCCAUGAAAAUACUAACUUCUUCAGAGAUGAAGAAUGAAAUACAAAAUGGCUGGAAGUCAGUUAUGACAUCAUAGGAAUGAACUUAGAUACAUAACAUGAAAGGUUAGCUUAAGUUAAAUCAUCAUGUAUACGAAUGAUCAAAUGAAAUGUUAAAGGAAAGUUAUGGAUUUACCUCAUUUCAAUAAUUAGGCCAAACUGAAUUCAGUCUAUGAAUCAAAAUACUUCCUGCUGUUUUCAACUUUUUGUGAUCUUUAUAAGGAGUUUUUUGUACUAUUGUUGGUUUGUGUCACCUGUUUCUAUUUAUUGGAAGUCUCUCACAUUGAAAUAUGGUCGUAAAUUGUUGUCACCCCACCCCGUCUGGCGGUCUGGAGUCCACAAGCAAUUGUGGACACUGUACAGGCUAAAGUUAAUAUCCAUUGACUUAAAACUUAUAUACAUUGUUUAUGGUGAUGAGACAACGAAGCUUAUUGAUUUUCAGCGAUUUCAGAUAACUACGGCCCUGGCCCAUGAUUGCACGAAAAAAUGGCAUUUUCGCUUAUGGACCCUUUUGAGGUGACGGUUUUAUCUUUUUUUAAAACCUGUUCAAAUAUAUAGUUCAAUAUAUAUAUAUAUAUAUAUAUAUCACCGUUAAACCAUAAUUAUGGUCGAGUUCGAAUUUUGUGAAAAUUUGACUGAAAAUAGUUUUUUUUAGCUGAUCUUCAAUGGAAACCGUUUGUUAGUAUCUUGUUAAUGCUUUCAUUACUGACAAAAGAAAUAAUAUGCAACGCCCUUGUGGACUGCAUGGACAACUUACCUGUUGUGGGCGUAUGUUUUGUUGUCUGGCAACCUAUUUUUUCUCAAUUUCUCAAUAUUUGACCCACAUAAUUGUGUGCCAGCUUGCAUGUUGCUUGACUAAACAAACCAUUUCAUUUAUAAACUCAUCUGAAGACAAAACAAAAUUGGAACUACAAAAAAUAAAAUAAAAAAUGAUCUGUGUUUUAAUUAGUUUGAAGAAAAAAGUUUAUUACUGUCAUUCUGUACUGUGUCUUUGUGUUAAAAGAAUUAAAGUCGUUAUAAUAUU